UUACUGCUGAAAAGUAGAGGAAAGUCCAUGCUCGCAUUUCCUGUGAUGGAGAUAGUGUUUGUGUGUAUUGAAAAAAUAAAAUACAGUAUUAGUAAUAAUAACGGCGAUUUUCAAAUCUUUAUUCUUAAAGAUUUGAAAAUUAUAAAGUGCAACAGCGACGAAUUUAUGAAGUGAUUUAUAAAGUGAAACGGGUAAACCCCACAAGCGAGAAACCUAAAAUUUGGUAAGGGAAUCUUAAAACAAUAAUAAAGAAUUGUUUUGGAAUAUAUCUAUUUAUAUAGAUAUAUAGAUAAAUUAUUAACACUAUUUAUAGUACAAAACAUGGCUUAUAG
Molecule: RNase P RNA, 332 nt
Filed under: uncultured Mycoplasma sp.
Lineage: Bacteria; Bacillati; Mycoplasmatota; Mollicutes; Mycoplasmatales; Mycoplasmataceae
Description: Bacterial RNase P class B
Rfam family: Bacterial RNase P class B
About the family: Ribonuclease P (RNase P) is a ubiquitous endoribonuclease, found in archaea, bacteria and eukarya as well as chloroplasts and mitochondria. Its best characterised activity is the generation of mature 5'-ends of tRNAs by cleaving the 5'-leader elements of precursor-tRNAs. Cellular RNase Ps are ribonucleoproteins.
Source: RNAcentral